RNAcentral lists this ribosomal RNA (466 nucleotides) under uncultured bacterium. RNAcentral's name for it is "partial 16S ribosomal RNA". It matches the Rfam family "Bacterial small subunit ribosomal RNA", at positions 28 to 505 of the family's 1533-position model. The record is from RNAcentral.
GACGAACGCUGGCGGCGUGCUUAACACAUGCAAGUCGAACGGAAAGGCCCUGCUUUUGUGGGGUGCUCGAGUGGCGAACGGGUGAGUAACACGUGAGUAACCUGCCCUUGACUUUGGGAUAACUUCAGGAAACUGGGGCUAAUACCGGAUAGGAGCUCCUGCUGCAUGGUGGGGGUUGGAAAGUUUCGGCGGUUGGGGAUGGACUCGCGGCUUAUCAGCUUGUUGGUGGGGUAGUGGCUUACCAAGGCUUUGACGGGUAGCCGGCCUGAGAGGGUGACCGGCCACAUUGCGAGUGAGAUACGGCGCAGAAUACUACGGGAGGAAGCAGUGGGGAAUAUUGCACAACGGGGGGAGGACUGCUGCAGCAACGACGCGUGGGGGAUGAUGGACUUCGGGUUGUAAACCGCUUUCGUUUGUGACGAAGCGUGAGAGACGGUAAUGGGUAAAGAAGCAGCGGAUAACUACG